UUUAUCUUGGCAGAAUUAGUGUGUCAAAUUUAGAAUUUGAGGAUGACCCAGUCAGAUAAAA
Molecule: transfer RNA, 61 nt
Filed under: Alectorobius peruvianus
Lineage: Eukaryota; Metazoa; Arthropoda; Arachnida; Ixodida; Argasidae
Description: tRNA-Leu
Source: RNAcentral